AAGACUAUACUUUCAGGGAUCAUUUCUAUAGUUUGUGACAUACUUUCUCAUGAGAACACAAGGCUCUGCUGGA
RNAcentral lists this small nucleolar RNA (73 nucleotides) under Catagonus wagneri (Chacoan peccary). Its description in RNAcentral is "Small nucleolar RNA U3 (ENSCWAG00000019913.1)". The stretch from base 1 to 41 matches the Rfam family "Small nucleolar RNA U3", at positions 1 to 41 of the family's 219-position model. From Rfam's summary of the family: Small nucleolar RNAs (snoRNAs) are involved in the processing and modification of rRNA in the nucleolus. There are two main classes of snoRNAs: the box C/D class, and the box H/ACA class. Lineage: Eukaryota; Metazoa; Chordata; Mammalia; Artiodactyla; Tayassuidae. The record is from Rfam by way of RNAcentral.